CCCUUAGAUGUUCUGGGCGGCCCGCGCACUACAAUGGCGUGUGCAGCGAGUGCCGAAGUAGAGUUUUCCGAGGUAUUCUUGCAAUGCUCGUUUUGAUGGGGAUAGACCCUUGCAACUGUUGGUUUUGAACGAGGAAUUCCUUGUAAGCAUGGUUUAUCAUCCGACGCUGAAUGCGUCCCUGCCCUUUGUACACACCGCCCGUCGCUCCUACCGACGAGUCGUCCGGUGAAGUUCGUAGACCUCGUGAUCGCGGAUCACUGGGGGAAGCAAAAUGAACCUCGCGGUUUAGAGGAAGGAGAAGUCGUAACA
Molecule: ribosomal RNA, 309 nt
Filed under: uncultured eukaryote
Lineage: Eukaryota
Description: partial 18S ribosomal RNA
Rfam family: Eukaryotic small subunit ribosomal RNA
Source: RNAcentral